UACGGAAGGCAGCAGUGGGGAAUAUUGCACAAUGGGCGAAAGCCUGAUGCAGCUAUGCCGCGUGUAUGAAGAAGGCCUUAGGGUUGUAAAGUACUUUCAUCGGGGAGGAAAAACAAAACUAAUAAUUUUAUUUCUUGACGUUACCCGAAAAAGAAGCACCGGCUAACUCCGUGCCAGCAGCCGCGGUAAUACGGAGGGUGCUAGCGUUAAUCAGAAUUACUGGGCGUAAAGAGCACGUAGGUGUUUUUUAAGUCAGAUGUGAAAUCCCUGGGCUUAACCUAGGAACUGCAUUUUGAAACUGAAAUACUAGAGUAUCGUAGAGGGAGGUAGAAUUCUAGGUGUAGCGGUGAAAUGCGUAGAUAUCUGGAGGAAUACCUGUGGCGAAAGCGGCCUCCUAAACGAAUACUGACACUGAGGUGCGAAAGCGUGGGGAGCAAACAGGGAUUAGAUACC
Molecule: ribosomal RNA, 453 nt
Filed under: uncultured bacterium
Lineage: Bacteria
Description: bacterial SSU rRNA
Rfam family: Bacterial small subunit ribosomal RNA
Source: RNAcentral